RNAcentral lists this long non-coding RNA (2874 nucleotides) under Sus scrofa (pig). Its description in RNAcentral is "lncRNA (ENSSSCG00015057026.1)". The record is from RNAcentral. Lineage: Eukaryota; Metazoa; Chordata; Mammalia; Artiodactyla; Suidae.
GCAUAUGGAGGUUCCCAGGCUAGGGGUCAAAUUGGAGCUGUAGCCACCGGCCUACACCACAGCCACAGCAACGUGAGAUCCAAGCCUCAAGUGGCAACCUACACCACAGCCCAUGGCAUCGCUGGAUCUUUAGCCCACUGAGCGAGGCCUGGGAUCGAACCUGAGUCCUCAUGGUUACUAGGCGUGUUUGUUAACUGUUGAGCCACUUCGGGAACACCCAGGCUUUGGUUUUGCCCCAUGGAAGUGAGCUUUUCAAGGGUAGGGCUGUGUCUGACUCAUCUUUGUGUUCCAAACCCUUUACGCAAUAGCUGCUCGUAAAUGUGUCUGGCCUCACCUCACAAAGUCCCCUAUUUCAUAGCUAUGAGCUCAACACCAAACUCUUCUUUCAGAUUUUAUUAGAGCUGAAUUUGGAAUCCAGGAGAAGGAAAGACUCCUGUGCUUCCGGAAGGAUGGUCCUGGCAGCAUUGUUUAUGUAGCCUUGGUUUCUGCCUCCUGGCUAUCAUCCUGUCUUUCAGCCUCUGGGGUAAUUCUUGGCUAGGGGUCUAAUCGGAGCUGUAGCCUCCCGCCUACACCACAGGCAUAGCAAUGCAGCAAUGAGGGAUCUGAGCAGCAUCUGCACCCUACACUACAGCUCACGGCAAUGCCGGAUUCUUAACCCACUGAGCAAGGCCAGGGAUUGAACCUGAAACCUCAUGGUUCCUAGUCAGAUUCGUUAACCACUGAGCCACAACAGGAACUCCCCCGAGCCCCCAUUCUACCUUAAGGGUGAGACCCAACAUCUCCCCACCUGCGGGGCUGACUGCUGUGAAGUGGGGGUGGCUUCUAAUAUAGAGCAUAAUUAUUGGGGAGGGUUUAUUAACCAGCUGCUUCUCUGUGUAGUUAGGGUGAAGGAUGCUGCGUUCAGUGGUCCCUCUUAAUUAUUGUAUUAGGCCAGACAGAGGACACUCCUUUUCUUGCAGAAGGGAGUACAACAGGACUUAGCAAGGUCACCCCGAGCCUUGGUGUAGAAGGAUGGAGAGACAGUGGAGCCCAGCUUGUGGCAACUCUGGAUCCUUUACUCACUGAGCAAAGCCCAGGAUGGAACCUGCCUCCUCGUGGAUGCUAGUUGGGUUAUUAAUCUGCUGAGCCACCAUGGGAGCUCCUUCGAUUGCUUCUUGACUAACAAAGCAAUUGGUAGGCUCUGAAAAUAAGAUUCUGGAAUUGGGUUUCUUGCAUGUUUGAUAAGCACAGGGAAACCUCCAUGCUUGGGGUGGGGGGAUUAAUAAUCCGUGGCAUGUGAUGCCAUCACAGUUAUUAAAAUAUUAUCAGUGGUGGCAUAGGAUGGACUGCAGCUUGAGAAUAAAGCCUUAUUAAAUGGUGCUUUUCAGAGGAGUCACACACUGACAGGGCUGUGGGCAGGCAUUGCUUCCAGCUCCCCAUACCUCACGGGAACAAACUGGGCCAGACACUGACUGCUGCAGUCCAUGGUCACUUCUCCAGGGGCACAGAGUUGAGCAGCUUUUUAAUUAGGUCUAGCGAGCCGGCCGCAUGCAGCCUCAGCAGUUGUGCUUCAGGCUCAGUGCAUCCAGGGCGUCCCCCUGUUUCAAAGAGAGAUCUUCGAUCCAUGUUUUUAGCAGCAUUACUCACAAUACUACUGAUAUGGAGCAAGAGUCUGUCACCUGUUGAAGGGAUGAAGAAGAUAUGGUUCUAUUUAAAUCCCAGUUAAAUAGAAUUGAGAGACCAGAAGGGGAAGUUCUCACUCCCUGCAGGGAUAGCAGAGCCCAACAGGAAGAGGAAAGACUCUUCUUUCCUGGCAAGGACUCAGCCAAUGAAAAGCCGCAUAGUCUGUUUGCUAUAGCCCUCUUAACUUCCUUUUCUCUAUAAAAUCAUUCUUCUUCUUCCCUUGCAGUGCAGGGAUUUGCACAUGGUUUACCAUGGCUGCAGCCCCAAAUUGCUAUUCCCCAAUAAACCCAUCUUUGCUGGGGCGGGGGUGGGGGGCGGAGAAUAAAGCCUUAAGAGAAGUAAGUCAUUGGCACUUCGUUGCUAUGGAAACACUGAUGGUUACAUGGAUUCUAGGAUGGGUGGGCUUCUGUUGAUGGCCCUAGAGAAGGCCAUAGAUAAACUCCAGAUCUUGACUUCGUAACUGAAGCGUCAGGUGGAGUAGCAGAAGGCAUGUCUGCAGUGGUAAAAUCCUUUCCCUUAGCCGCAGGACAGACACAGCUAAGGAUCUGGUCCAAGGUCUGGGUUGCAGGGCUGCAGUGUCAGGUAAAUACGCAGUGCCAGUUACUGGCGCAUGUUAGGAAUGUCUCUUAGCUAAGGCAAGGACCUUGAAACUUGUUAGAAAUACAAAUUAGAAGACUUCGACUGACAAAUUAAAGGACUGAUAAGAAGACCAACUGAAUUAAAAAUUCUGGGAUUGGGGCCCAGAAGCUGUGUUAGAACAAGGCUUCCAGGUGAUUCUGAUGCAUGCUAAAGGUUGAGAACCACUGUACCAGAAAAUACUUCCUAUUGCAUCCCAAUCAAUAAAGAUAAUUAAAAAAGAGUUCACCUUCAUCAGGCAGGAGACAGUGGUACACCUCAGGAUUGUACUACUCUGCUGCAUUCACUGGUACAUCAUAACUGGAUUUGAAUGGGACCCAGAGAAAUGAAAGGCUCUAGAACAGUCCAGGCUAUGAUGAAAGCUACUUUACCCCUUGAGCCUUAAGACCCGGCAGACGCAAUGCUAUAGGAAGUGUCCAUGGCAGAUAAAGAUGCUGUAUGGAGCAGAUUCUUCUGAUAGGAGCAGCAUGGUGCUAACUCAACUAUAUGAGAUUGGAGGAGGGAAUUCAAGUUAGUCUUGGGGAGAAGAUGUAUGUAGAAGGAUGUCUUUGAAGGAGCUCUGAAGGUGAAGCUAUU